UCCCUUGUGGCUCAGCUGGUAAAGAAUCCACCUGCAAUGUGGGAGACCUGAGUUCGAUUCCUAGCUUGGGAA
Molecule: transfer RNA, 72 nt
Organism: Ovis aries (sheep)
Lineage: Eukaryota; Metazoa; Chordata; Mammalia; Artiodactyla; Bovidae
Rfam family: tRNA
About the family: Transfer RNA (tRNA) molecules are approximately 80 nucleotides in length. Their secondary structure includes four short double-helical elements and three loops (D, anti-codon, and T loops).
Source: Rfam